UCCCGGGUGUCUCAGACAGUAAAGAAUCUGCCUGCAAUGCAGGAGACCUGGGUUUAAUCCCUGGUCCAGAAG
This 72-nucleotide transfer RNA is filed under the name Bos taurus (domestic cattle). It matches the Rfam family "tRNA". From Rfam's summary of the family: Transfer RNA (tRNA) molecules are approximately 80 nucleotides in length. Their secondary structure includes four short double-helical elements and three loops (D, anti-codon, and T loops). Lineage: Eukaryota; Metazoa; Chordata; Mammalia; Artiodactyla; Bovidae. RNAcentral also lists the same sequence under 5 other names. The record is from Rfam by way of RNAcentral.